UAGGGAAUAUUAGAAAUGGCCGAAAGUCUGAUCUAGCAACACCGCGUGUGCGAAGAAGGCCUUUGGGUCGUAAAGCACUUUUUGCAAGGAAUAGGAAGGAAUGUACUUCCAGAAUAAGUCUCGGCUAACUACGUGCCAGCAGCCGCGGUAACACGUAGGAGGCAAACGUUAUCCGGAUUUACUGGGCGUAAAGCGCGUGUAGGUGGUACUGUAAGUAGGGCGUGAAAGCUCCUGGCUCAACUGGGAGAGGCCGUUCUAAACUACAGAACUAGAGGAUGGUAGAGGGAGGUGGAAUUCCAGGUGUAGCGGUGGAAUGCGCAGAUACCUGGAGGAACACCGGUGGCGAAGGCGGCCUCCUGGACCAUUCCUGACACUCAGACGCGAAAGCUAUGGUAGCAAACGG
RNAcentral lists this ribosomal RNA (403 nucleotides) under uncultured bacterium. RNAcentral's name for it is "bacterial SSU rRNA". It matches the Rfam family "Bacterial small subunit ribosomal RNA", at positions 355 to 775 of the family's 1533-position model. The record is from RNAcentral.